AGGAAGGUUGCUCACUGGGUAGAGUGCAUGCCUUGCAGGCAUGAGGUGCCCAGGUUCCCUUCCUG
Molecule: transfer RNA, 65 nt
Filed under: Erinaceus europaeus (western European hedgehog)
Lineage: Eukaryota; Metazoa; Chordata; Mammalia; Eulipotyphla; Erinaceidae
Rfam family: tRNA
About the family: Transfer RNA (tRNA) molecules are approximately 80 nucleotides in length. Their secondary structure includes four short double-helical elements and three loops (D, anti-codon, and T loops).
Source: Rfam by way of RNAcentral